GACGAACGCUGGCGGCGUGCUUAACACAUGCAAGUCGAACGGGGACGGAGGAGCUUGCUCCUCCUGAUCAGUGGCGAACGGGUGAGUAACACGUGAGCAAUCUGCCCCUGACUCUGGGAUAACUGCGGGAAACUGUAGCUAAUACCGGAUACGACGCGCGAAGGCAUCUUCUGCGCGUGGAAAGAAUUUCGAUCAGGGAUGAGCUCGCGGCCUUUCAGCUUGUUGGUGAGGUAAUGGCUCACCAAGGCGGCGACGGGUAGCCGGCCUGAGAGGGUGACCGGGCCCACUUGGCAGGGCAAACGGCCCAGAAUCCGACGGGAGGCAGGAGUGGGGAAUAUUGCACCAUGGGCGCAAGCCUGAUGCAGCAACGCAGCGUGAGGGACGACGGCCUUCGGGUUGUAAACCUCUUUUGGCAGGGAAGAAGCGAAAGUGACGGUACCUGCAGAAAAAGCACCGGCUAACUACGUG
This 468-nucleotide ribosomal RNA is filed under the name uncultured bacterium. RNAcentral's name for it is "partial 16S ribosomal RNA". It matches the Rfam family "Bacterial small subunit ribosomal RNA", at positions 28 to 507 of the family's 1533-position model. The record is from RNAcentral.